GAUGAACGCUGGCGGCGUGCCUAAUACAUGCAAGUCGAACGCAUUGAGAGAAGUGCUUGCACUUUUCAAUUUGAGUGGCGAACGGGUGAGUAACACGUGGGCAACCUACCUGAUAGCGGGGGAUAACGAGUGGAAACAUUCGCUAAUACCGCAUAACAAUCGAGAAGGCAUCUUCUUUAUUUAAAAGGCGCUUUCAAGCGUCACUAGCAGAUGGGCCGGCGGUGCAAUAGUUAGUUGGUGGGGUGAAGGCCUACCACGACAAUGAUUCAUAGCCGAGUUGAGAGACUGAUCGGCCACAUUGGGACUGAGACACGGCCCAAACUCCUACGGGAGGCUGCAGUAGGGAAUCUUCCACAAUGGACGAAAGUCUGAUGGAGCAACGCCGCGUGUGUGAUGAAGGCUUUCGGGUCGUAAAGCACUGUUGUAUGGGAAGAAAUGCUAGGCUAGGAAAUGAGCUUAGUUUGACGGUACCAUACCAGAAAGGGACGGCUAAAUACGUGCCAGCCGCCGCCGUAA
This 516-nucleotide ribosomal RNA is filed under the name uncultured bacterium. RNAcentral's name for it is "partial 16S ribosomal RNA". It matches the Rfam family "Bacterial small subunit ribosomal RNA", at positions 28 to 523 of the family's 1533-position model. The record is from RNAcentral.